GGAAUAUUGGUCAAUGGGCGGAAGCCUGAACCAGCCAUGCCGCGUGCAGGAAGACGGCCCUAUGGGUUGUAAACUGCUUUUGCAGGGGAAUAAACCUCAUUACGUGUAAUGAGCUGAAUGUACUCUGAGAAUAAGGAUCGGCUAACUCCGUGCCAGCAGCCGCGGUAAUACGGAGGAGCCAAGCGUUAUCCGGAUGUAUUGGGUUUAAAGGGUGCGUAGGUGGCUUUUUAAGUCAGGGGUGAAAGACGGUAGCUUAACUAUCGCAGUGCCUUUGAUACUGAAGAGCUUGAAUGAACUAGAGGUAGGCGGAAUGUGACAAGUAGCGGUGAAAUGCAUAGAUAUGUCACAGAACACCAAUUGCGAAGGCAGCUUACUAUGGUUUUAUUGACACUGAGGCACGAAAGCGUGGGGAUCAAAC
Molecule: ribosomal RNA, 418 nt
Filed under: uncultured bacterium
Lineage: Bacteria
Description: bacterial SSU rRNA
Rfam family: Bacterial small subunit ribosomal RNA
Source: RNAcentral